UAAGAGCCAGCGCAAGCUAUAUGACAUCUAUACAGGAUUUGUAAUAAGUGCUUCAAAAGCAGCCCGAAAA
Maniola jurtina (meadow brown) is the source of this 70-nucleotide long non-coding RNA. RefSeq lists it as uncharacterized. Lineage: Eukaryota; Metazoa; Arthropoda; Insecta; Lepidoptera; Nymphalidae. The transcript is spliced from 3 exons. The record is from RefSeq and is a predicted model, not a curated record.